CUGUGCCAAACCUGCUUCCUGACAGAGAGACACACAAAAAACACAAGAGCUCCCACCCAGUGCUGGAGCACUGCACUCAGCCAUCCUGGAAAGAAUCCCUAGCCUCAUUAGCAUACAGCGCCCGCCAAGCCUUAUUACCACGGCGAUACACACACAGGGAGGCAGAGAGGAGGUGCCUAAUCAGGGCGGAGUCACGAGGGGAGCCGCAGACCAGCUUCACCACCCCUGACCCUUCACCUCAGUCUGCCGCUGAGGACAGAGCCCCUCCCACUAAUCCUCC
This is a long non-coding RNA of Oncorhynchus kisutch (coho salmon), 280 nucleotides long. RefSeq lists it as uncharacterized. NCBI's taxonomy places the organism in Eukaryota, Metazoa, Chordata, Actinopteri, Salmoniformes, Salmonidae. The record is from RefSeq and is a predicted model, not a curated record. The transcript has 3 exons.